GAAAUGCGAUAAGUAAUGUGAAUUGCAGAAUUCAGUGAAUCAUCGAAUCUUUGAACGCACAUUGCGCCCCCUGGUAUUCCGGGGGGCAUGCCUGUCCGAGCGUCAUUACUGCCCUCAAGCGCGGCUUGUGUGUUGGGCCUUCGCCCCCCCGGGGGCGUGCCCGAAAGGCAGUGGCGGCGCCGUGCCCGGUCCUCGAGCGUAUGGGGCUUUGUCACCCGCUCUGGAGGCCCGGCCGGCCGCCGCCGACCCGCCCAGACCUUUAACCGGUUGACCUCGGAUCAGGUAGGAGUUACCCGCUGAACUUAA
RNAcentral lists this unclassified non-coding RNA (306 nucleotides) under uncultured Arachnomycetaceae. RNAcentral describes it as "sequence contains ITS1". The stretch from base 1 to 105 matches the Rfam family "5.8S ribosomal RNA", at positions 50 to 154 of the family's 154-position model. Lineage: Eukaryota; Fungi; Ascomycota; Eurotiomycetes; Onygenales. The record is from RNAcentral.